UGUCCAUUACCAUUCCCCAUUCCUGAUUCCAUCUUAUCCAUAUCAGUACUGGUGAGGUCUUAAGAUGUAAGAAAAGCAUAUUUACUUUUUUUGACAAUGAGGAAACAUCAUCCCUGCAAAGGAAGACUGACUACUUUCUUCCUGACUUUCUGAUCACAACAUUGCCCCAGGCACAAUGGGCAGCAGGAUAUCCUGCACCUGCCUGGGGAGGACGCCUGCGGUCUAGAAGGUGCAAGAUGAGUCAACAUACUUCGGUGGUAGGGGUCUGUCUGGUAGAAGUCACACAAGGGGCAGAGAGAAGCAGUAACGUAAGUGAAGCUAGAAAGAAAAGUCCUAAGCCAGAAGGAGCCCCAAGGCAAAGGCUAACUGGACAAGAAUGGCACUUGUGAGGAUAAGCAAAGAUAAGCAGACCACAUUAUGGUUUAGGAAAGGAAAGUGAGGGUGGACGUGGAUAUGCCAUGCUCAAGAGUUGGAACUAGGGUCUGUGACAAAACACUGCAUAAAAGGAUUCACAACCCUUCUUUUAUCUCUACAUGCAGGACAGAUGGGGUUCCUACGCAUAGUGCAUUGCCCUAGGCAAACUUAGAUCAGCAGUGGCAGCAUCUACUAAAUAGACUGAGUUACAAGCAUUUCUGGUCUUCCUGGCUGCAAUGGUAUCCCUUUCUCUCCAUCUAUGAAUGCAUCUCGGAGGCCAAAGACCACCAAAAGAAGACCACAAAACCAUAAGAAGCUGGCCACAGAAAUCAAGCUGGCACCUUACCCUGCUACCUGUGGACAUGAGUCCAUAGCACAGGAAUCAGACUCACCACUGGGUCUCCAAUCAUUCUUCAGGAGCAGAGCACAAAAGGGGUACCAGAGGCUUCUCUACCUGGUAGCCCCAGAGGGUGAUGGUGUGCAGCAUUUAAGAAUAUGGACUUCAACAUCAGAUUGACUUGGUUCAAAUUCUGACUCUGCCCCUUACCAUGUGACCGUAGACAAGAUGAGAAAAGUGAUGUGUAGAAAAGUCAAGCCAGAGAACCAGGAGGUAACAGAGCUGGGAUUUGAACCCAAGAAGCCUGGCCAAGAACUCUGUGCCCCUGAAUACUCUGCUUUUCUGCUGAUCCUGUCAUGUGAGUGUCAGGCCACUUAACUCUUUUUAAAAGUGGUCUGCUAUAAAUAAUUAUCGAGCACGUGUUUUAUCUCCUCUCAGCUCCCUGAGGCCUGUCAUGCUUCUUAUGCUUUAUGUUUCUUACAGUGCCUUACACUGGCCCUGGAAAAAACAUGACACCCUUACAUGAAUAUGUAGAAAUCAAACUUGCUCAAAAAACAGAUAUGAAUGUACAUGUGUACACAUACAUGUAUAUAUAUCGUCUUCAAAACAUAGAUGGUCAGGAUUGAUCAGAUGCAGUGCAAUAAACAGCUAUGUAAAAUGUCUCAAGCCAUGUUAAUCGCAUGAAUUAAAUGUAUUAAAAUACAUGUCCACUAGAGAAUGCAUUGAUAUUUUUCAUUAUCUGUUUUACUUCAUGGCAUCAGAGUAUAGAAUAAAAAUGGUAAUUAGAUGCAUCUUUUAAAGCAGCUUCUAAACUAUAUCUCUGAAAAAAAAUUUUUAAUAAAUUUUUUUUAAUGUUUAUUCACUUUUGAGAGACAGAGAGAGACAGAGCAUGAGCAGGGGAGGGUCAGAGAGAGAGGGAAACACAGAAUCCGAAGCAGGCUCCAGGCUCCGAGCUGUCAGCACAGAGCCCAACACGGGGCUCAAACACACAAACCGUGAGAUCAUGACCUGAGCUGAAGUCAGACACUUAACCGACUGAGCCACCCAGAUGCCCCUGAAAUUUAUUUCGAAUGGCAUUUCAGAACUAUUUUGAGUAAGAAAUAUAUGAUUUCUAAAGAGUGUGCUGUGGUUAAUAGGAUGGAUUCUGUUUGCACACUCAACUCCCCCUUCAGACCUCAAGAACUUAUGCCCCAGAUGCUGCAGGCUGCCAGCUGCCAGGCCUCAAAGCUAAGCUCUCACCAGACAUUACCCUCAACUGGGGAGAGCUGCCUCAAGCAAUGUUGUUCCUUCCUAUAUUUCCCCAGAGGGACCCUGCACCCUAUCACUGGUCAAUGUAGGAAUAUAAUGGUAAGGCCCUCCUUGCAACAGCUUGGGACCACUUUGGCAGGCCAUUACCAUUCCAGAGCUCCCUGGAGGAGCCAGCUGUGGCCUUCCUUGAAACUCUAUCAACUCAGCCAACUUCUACCCUCUGCCCAGUCCCGCUUUCUUUCCUUUCCUUCUGCAGGUAUGCAUCCUGAGAGCCCUCCAAAUAAACUUCCUCAUGCUAA
Molecule: long non-coding RNA, 2298 nt
Organism: Neofelis nebulosa (Clouded leopard)
Lineage: Eukaryota; Metazoa; Chordata; Mammalia; Carnivora; Felidae
Exons: 4
Source: RefSeq, a predicted model, not a curated record